RNAcentral lists this ribosomal RNA (468 nucleotides) under uncultured bacterium. RNAcentral's name for it is "partial 16S ribosomal RNA". It matches the Rfam family "Bacterial small subunit ribosomal RNA", at positions 28 to 507 of the family's 1533-position model. The record is from RNAcentral.
GACGAACGCUGGCGGCGUGCUUAACACAUGCAAGUCGAACGGAAAGGCCCUGCUUUUGUGGGGUGCUCGAGUGGCGAACGGGUGAGUAACACGUGAGUAACCUGCCCUUGACUUUGGGAUAACUUCAGGAAACUGGGGCUAAUACCGGAUAGGAGCUCCUGCUGCAUGGUGGGGGUUGGAAAGUUUCGGCGGUUGGGGAUGGACUCGCGGCUUAUCAGCUUGUUGGUGGGGUAGUGGCUUACCAAGGCUUUGACGGGUAGCCGGCCUGAGAGGGUGACCGGCCACCUUGGGACUGCGAUACGGCCCAGACUCCUACGGGAGGCAGCAGUGGGGAAUAUUGCACAAUGGGCGGGAGCCUGAUGCAGCAACGCCGCGUGCGGGAUGACGGCCUUCGGGUUGUAAACCGCUUUCGCCUGUGACGAAGCGUGAGUGACGGUAAUGGGUAAAGAAGCACCGGCUAACUACGUG